RNAcentral lists this ribosomal RNA (2918 nucleotides) under Acinetobacter baumannii. RNAcentral describes it as "bacterial LSU rRNA". It matches the Rfam family "Bacterial large subunit ribosomal RNA". Lineage: Bacteria; Pseudomonadati; Pseudomonadota; Gammaproteobacteria; Moraxellales; Moraxellaceae. The record is from RNAcentral.
GUUGUAUAGUCAAGUAAUUAAGUGCAUGUGGUGGAUGCCUUGGCAGUCAGAGGCGAUGAAAGACGUGAUAGCCUGCGAAAAGCUCCGGGGAGGCGGCAAAUAUCCUUUGAUCCGGAGAUGUCUGAAUGGGGGAACCCACCUACUUUAAGGUAGGUAUUGCAACAUGAAUACAUAGUGUUGCAAGGCGAACGAGGGGAAGUGAAACAUCUCAGUACCCUUAGGAAAAGAAAUCAAUUGAGAUUCCCUCAGUAGCGGCGAGCGAACGGGGAUCAGCCCAUUAAGUUAUGUGUGUUUUAGUGGAACGCUCUGGGAAGUGCGAACGUAGAGGGUGAUAUUCCCGUACACGAAAGGGUACACAUAAUGAUGACGAGUAGGGCGAGGCACGUGAAACCUUGUCUGAAUAUGGGGGGACCAUCCUCCAAGGCUAAAUACUCCUGACUGACCGAUAGUGAACCAGUACCGUGAGGGAAAGGCGAAAAGAACCCCUGUGAGGGGAGUGAAAUAGAUCCUGAAACCGCAUGCAUACAAGCAGUGGGAGCACCUUCGUGGUGUGACUGCGUACCUUUUGUAUAAUGGGUCAGCGACUUAUAUUCAGUAGCAAGGUUAACCGUAUAGGGGAGCCGUAGAGAAAUCGAGUCUUAAUAGGGCGUUUAGUUGCUGGGUAUAGACCCGAAACCAGGCGAUCUAUCCAUGAGCAGGUUGAAGGUUGGGUAACACUAACUGGAGGACCGAACCCACUGUCGUUGAAAAGCCAGGGGAUGACUUGUGGAUAGGGGUGAAAGGCUAAUCAAGCCUGGUGAUAGCUGGUUCUCCCCGAAAGCUAUUUAGGUAGCGCCUCGGACGAAUACCAUAGGGGGUAGAGCACUGUUUCGGCUAGGGGGUCAUCCCGACUUACCAAACCGAUGCAAACUCCGAAUACCUAUGAGUACUAUCCGGGAGACAGACUGCGGGUGCUAACGUCCGUAGUCAAGAGGAAAACAAUCCAGACCGCCAGCUAAGGCCCCAAAAUCAUAGUUAAGUGGGAAACGAUGUGGGAAGGCAUAGACAGCUAGGAGGUUGGCUUAGAAGCAGCCACCCUUUAAAGAAAGCGUAAUAGCUCACUAGUCGAGUCGGCCUGCGCGGAAGAUGUAACGGGGCUAAAACUAUGUGCCGAAGCUGCGGAUGUAUACUUUGUAUACGUGGUAGGGGAGCGUUCUGUAAGCCGAUGAAGGUGUGUUGAGAAGCAUGCUGGAGGUAUCAGAAGUGCGAAUGCUGACGUGAGUAACGACAAAACGGGUGAAAAACCCGUUCGCCGAAAGACCAAGGGUUCCAGUCCAACGUUAAUCGGGGCUGGGUGAGUCGACCCCUAAGGCGAGGCCGAAAGGCGUAGUCGAUGGGAAAAUGGUUAAUAUUCCAUUACUUCUGUGUAAUGCGAUGAGAGGACGGAGAAGGCUAAAUCAGCCUGGCGUUGGUUGUCCAGGUGAAAGGAUGUAGGCAUGUAUCUUAGGCAAAUCCGGGGUACUCUAUGCUGAGAUCUGAUAGCAAGCUGUACUUGUACAGCGAAGUGGUUGAUGCCAUGCUUCCAGGAAAAGUCUCUAAGCUUCAGUUACACAGGAAUCGUACCCGAAACCGACACAGGUGGUCAGGUCGAGUAGACCAAGGCGCUUGAGAGAACUCUGCUGAAGGAACUAGGCAAAAUGGUACCGUAACUUCGGGAGAAGGUACGCUGUUGUUGGUGAUGGAACUCGCUUCCUGAGCUGACGACAGCCGCAGAAACCAGGCCGCUGCAACUGUUUAUUAAAAACAUAGCACUCUGCAAACACGAAAGUGGACGUAUAGGGUGUGAUGCCUGCCCGGUGCUGGAAGGUUAAUUGAUGGGGUUAGCGUAAGCGAAGCUCUUGAUCGAAGCCCCAGUAAACGGCGGCCGUAACUAUAACGGUCCUAAGGUAGCGAAAUUCCUUGUCGGGUAAGUUCCGACCUGCACGAAUGGCAUAAUGAUGGCGGCGCUGUCUCCAGCAGAGGCUCAGUGAAAUCGAAAUCGCUGUGAAGAUGCAGUGUACCCGCGGCUAGACGGAAAGACCCCGUGAACCUUUACUGCAGCUUGACACUGAACUUUGACCUUACUUGUGUAGGAUAGGUGGGAGGCUUUGAAGCUGGAACGCUAGUUCCAGUGGAGCCGUCCUUGAAAUACCACCCUGGUAAUGUUGAGGUUCUAACUCUGUCCCGUGAUCCGGGACGAGGACCGUGUCUGGUGGGUAGUUUGACUGGGGCGGUCUCCUCCUAAAGAGUAACGGAGGAGUACGAAGGUGCGCUCAGCGUGGUCGGAAAUCACGCGUAGAGUAUAAAGGCAAAAGCGCGCUUAACUGCGAGACCCACAAGUCGAGCAGGUACGAAAGUAGGUCUUAGUGAUCCGGUGGUUCUGUAUGGAAGGGCCAUCGCUCAACGGAUAAAAGGUACUCUGGGGAUAACAGGCUGAUACCGCCCAAGAGUUCAUAUCGACGGCGGUGUUUGGCACCUCGAUGUCGGCUCAUCUCAUCCUGGGGCUGAAGCAGGUCCCAAGGGUAUGGCUGUUCGCCAUUUAAAGAGGUACGCGAGCUGGGUUUAGAACGUCGUGAGACAGUUCGGUCCCUAUCUACCGUGGGCGCUGGAAAUUUGAGAGGAUCUGCUCCUAGUACGAGAGGACCAGAGUGGACGAACCUCUGGUGUACCGGUUGUGACGCCAGUCGCAUCGCCGGGUAGCUAUGUUCGGAAGGGAUAACCGCUGAAAGCAUCUAAGCGGGAAGCCUACCUCAAGAUAAGAUUUCCCUAGGACUUUAUGUCCUCUAAAGAGCCGUUCGAGACUAGGACGUUGAUAGGUUGGAUGUGGAAGCAUAGUGAUAUGUGAAGCUGACCAAUACUAAUUGCUCGUGAGGCUUGACUAUACAACACCCAAGCAGUUG